Long non-coding RNA from Bubalus bubalis (water buffalo), 308 nucleotides. RefSeq lists it as uncharacterized. The transcript has 3 exons. Lineage: Eukaryota; Metazoa; Chordata; Mammalia; Artiodactyla; Bovidae. The record is from RefSeq and is a predicted model, not a curated record.
UCUUAUCAACCAUUUGCCUGUAAUAGGAGUAAUUUGCCAAAAGCCAGAGCCCUAAUUCCUGACCUCUGAGUUCUCCUUUGAAAAGAAGUUGAAGAGGUGCCUGCACUGUUAGCAAGCAUGAGAACAUUCCUAUGGAAAACCGUGUGUUCGGAAAAAUGGAGAGGACAUGUCCAGAAGAUCCCUUCCUUUCCCUGAUGAGAAGCUGUGUAAAUCUGCACUUACAAACUGAGGGAAGUUCAAGGAAGAUGAAUGAAGCCUAUUUCUUACAACAAGAAAUAGGGGACAUGGAAAACAUUUAUACCUGGAGG